Molecule: long non-coding RNA, 644 nt
Filed under: Brassica napus (rape)
Lineage: Eukaryota; Viridiplantae; Streptophyta; Magnoliopsida; Brassicales; Brassicaceae
Description: long non-coding RNA (BNAP_LNC014225)
Source: RNAcentral
UAAACAUUGAACAAAUUGUCAAAUGUUUGAUAGAAAGUUUGAUCAAAAUAUUGAUCAAAAAUUUCAUCAAGGGACCCCUCCAAAUUGUGAUGAGAAGAAGAAGCCAUGAGAGGUUGGUUUUAGAAUCUUGUUUACAAUAUGGAUUUUUGGUAAUUUUUUGAUUAAAGAUAGUGAGAAUGGAGAGAAGAAUGAGAGAAGAUGUGAGAUUAAAGAUAGUGAGAAUGUGAGAUUGAAGAUAAAGAGAAUGGCUUGUGAACAAAAGAAAGUGAGAUUGCAAUGGCUUGUGAUCAUAAUGUUAUGGAUAUAUAAGAACAUCAACACUCGCUCACUAUAAUGUCAUUUACAAGACUCCAAAGACCCGUGAACACUAUACAAAGACAACAACAAUAUACAAAACUCCAAAGCAAACACAAGACUCCAAAGCCAACACAAUGAAAUGUGAUUACAAGACUCCAAAGCCAACACAUAACCUCUGUCUUUUAGACCCGUGACCUCUGUCUUUUGCUUUAGACCGUGACCAGACAUUGUCUCACAUUGUCUCACAACCAAAAACCCGUGAACCUGCAAGAACAAAAUGAAGACACGAUCAAACACAUUGAAACUUAAGGAAUUGGAACAAGAUCAAACACAUUGAAACUUAAAGA